AGCAGCCGCGGUAAUUCCAGCUCCAAUAGCGUAUAUUAAAGUUGUUGCAGUUAAAAAGCUCGUAGUUGAAUUUCGGGAUUAAUAUGCUGGUCGUGCCAUUGGUACGUACUAGUAUUAUUGAUUUCUCCCUUCUGAUGAAUCAUGAUGUCAUUAAUUUGAUGUCAUGGGGAAUCAGGACUGUUACUUUGAAAAAUUAGAGUGUUUAAAGCAGGCUCGCGCUUGAAUACAUUAGCAUGGAAUAAUGAAAUAGGACGUUUGAUUCUAUUUUGUUGGUUUCUAGGAUUGACGUAAUGAUUAAUAGGGAUAGUUGGGGGCAUUAGUAUUCAAUUGUCAGAGGUGAAAUUCUUGGAUUUAUUGAAGACUAACUACUGCGAAAGCAUUUGCCAAGGAUGUUUUCAUUAAUCAAGAACGAAAGUUAGGGGAUCGAAGACGAUCAGAUACCGUCGUAGUCUUAACAUAAACUAUGCCGACUAGGGAUCGGAUGAUGUUAAUUUUUAU
This 498-nucleotide ribosomal RNA is filed under the name uncultured Glomus. Its description in RNAcentral is "SSU rRNA". It matches the Rfam family "Eukaryotic small subunit ribosomal RNA", at positions 569 to 1073 of the family's 1831-position model. Lineage: Eukaryota; Fungi; Glomeromycota; Glomeromycetes; Glomerales; Glomeraceae. The record is from RNAcentral.